This 21-nucleotide unclassified non-coding RNA is filed under the name Mus musculus (house mouse). RNAcentral's name for it is "oocyte_clustered_small_RNA6818". Lineage: Eukaryota; Metazoa; Chordata; Mammalia; Rodentia; Muridae. The record is from RNAcentral.
UCCCCACAACCGCGGAGAGCC